Meloidogyne enterolobii is the source of this 98-nucleotide non-coding RNA. Lineage: Eukaryota; Metazoa; Nematoda; Chromadorea; Rhabditida; Meloidogynidae. The record is from the annotation of a GenBank genome assembly.
GUCCCGGUAGCUCAGCUGGUAGAGCACCUGUACGUGCGGAGCGAAAGUGCCUAGUAAUAACUGCCAGGAGGUCGCAGGACCGAAACCUACUCGGGAUU